CCUACGGGGUGCUGCAGUGGGGAAUAUUGGACAAUGGGCGAAAGCCUGAUCCAGCCAUGCCGCGUGUGUGAAGAAGGCCUUCGGGUUGUAAAGCACUUUCAGUGGGGAAGAAAGCCUUGGGGCUAAUACCCUCGAGGAAGGACAUCACCCACAGAAGAAGCACCGGCUAACUCCGUGCCAGCAGCCGCGGUAAUACGGAGGGUGCGAGCGUUAAUCGGAAUUACUGGGCGUAAAGCGCGCGUAGGCGGUCUGAUAAGCCGGUUGUGAAAGCCCCGGGCUCAACCUGGGAACGGCAUCCGGAACUGUCAGGCUAGAGUGCAGGAGAGGAAGGUAGAAUUCCCGGUGUAGCGGUGAAAUGCGUAGAGAGCGGGAGGAAUACCAGUGGCGAAGGCGGCCUUCUGGACUGACACUGACGCUGAGGUGCGAAAGCGUGGGUAGCAAACAGGAUUAGAUACCCGAGUAGUC
RNAcentral lists this ribosomal RNA (465 nucleotides) under Vreelandella stevensii. Its description in RNAcentral is "partial 16S ribosomal RNA". It matches the Rfam family "Bacterial small subunit ribosomal RNA", at positions 338 to 795 of the family's 1533-position model. Lineage: Bacteria; Pseudomonadati; Pseudomonadota; Gammaproteobacteria; Oceanospirillales; Halomonadaceae. The record is from RNAcentral.